RNAcentral lists this ribosomal RNA (421 nucleotides) under uncultured bacterium. Its description in RNAcentral is "partial 16S ribosomal RNA". It matches the Rfam family "Bacterial small subunit ribosomal RNA", at positions 360 to 773 of the family's 1533-position model. The record is from RNAcentral.
AAUAUUGGACAAUGGGGGCAACCCUGAUCCAGCCAUGCCGCGUGUGUGAAGAAGGUCUUCGGUUUGUAAAGCACUUUCAGUUGUGAGGAAGGGCUUUAGGCUAAUACCCUGAAGUUUUGACGUUACCAACAGAAUAAGCACCGUCUAACUCUGUGCCGGCAGCCGCGGUAAUACAUAUGGUGCAAGCGUCAAUCGGAAUUCUUGGGCGUAAAGCGCGCGUAGGUGGUUCAGUAAGAUGGGUGUGAAAUCCCCGGGCUUAACCUGGGAACUGCUUUCAUAACUGCUGAGCUAGAGUACGGUAGAGGGUAGUGGAAUUUCCUGUGUAGCGAUGAAAUGCGUAGAUAUAGGAAGGAACACCAGUGGCGAAGGCGACUACCUGGACUGAUACUGACACUGAGGUGCGAAAGCGUGGGGAGCAAAC